Molecule: long non-coding RNA, 529 nt
Organism: Carassius auratus (goldfish)
Lineage: Eukaryota; Metazoa; Chordata; Actinopteri; Cypriniformes; Cyprinidae
Exons: 3
Source: RefSeq, a predicted model, not a curated record
ACGGGAUUUUCCGCUGCUUUACAAAACAAAUACCUGGGGCCUGUAAAUUCCAGUGUGGCUUAGCUGACUGGAUCCAAGCUCUAUUAUAGCACUUUUAAUGUUGGGAUAACUACUGAUCACAUAAACACACAGAGACAUAGGAAUGUGCUUUAGGCAGCAGAAAGUGCAGUCAGCUGCUGUUGACUAACGGUGUGGAAUUCAAGAGGGAACAGAGACACAGGCUCGCAACUGAACACAAACAGGACAGAAACAGACUGCAGAAUGUAUUGUUCAGGUACGUUUAGCCUCCAGGCAUUCAGAAGAAGAAAGGAAGUCCAACCGCCUCGCCUGGUUUCCAGCAGUUCCAGGUGUCUCUGUUUAAACUGUGCCUUUGCUGUUGAAAGGACUGCGACAGAAGGGAGUCUUUGUCUUGAACCUCAUACAAUGGAGGCGAGAAAGAGCAUUGAAACUCGACCACAUUGUUAAUUAGCUUCUCGAAAUAAAAACGUUGCCUAAGUGAAACACGAACGUCUGUGCUUCUGUUUUACAU